Molecule: microRNA, 20 nt
Filed under: Drosophila yakuba
Lineage: Eukaryota; Metazoa; Arthropoda; Insecta; Diptera; Drosophilidae
Description: dya-miR-975-3p
Gene: dya-miR-975-3p
Source: miRBase by way of RNAcentral
ACAGAUGUGGGGGUCGUUUG